RNAcentral lists this ribosomal RNA (251 nucleotides) under uncultured prokaryote. Its description in RNAcentral is "partial 16S rRNA". It matches the Rfam family "Bacterial small subunit ribosomal RNA", at positions 525 to 775 of the family's 1533-position model. The record is from RNAcentral.
ACGGAGGAUCCGAGCGCUAUCCGGAUUUAUUGGGUUUAAAGGGUGCGUAGGCUGGUUUUUAAGUCAGCUGUGAAAUACCGACGCUUACCGUCGGCACUGCAGUUGAAACUGGGAACCUUGAGAGUGCAAGAGGCAUGCGGAAUUCAUGGUGUAGCGGGGAAAUGCGUAAAUAUCAUGGAUAACCCCGAUUGGGAAAGCAGUAUGGUGGGGUAUAUCUGACGCUGAGUCACGAAAGUGCGGGUAUCAAACAG